UAAACGGUCCUUUUUAGGACCAACAAAAUAAUAAAAACCCACUUGG
This 46-nucleotide non-coding RNA is filed under the name Cinara cedri. It matches the Rfam family "Histone 3' UTR stem-loop". Rfam says of the family: The mRNAs of metazoan histone genes lack a poly-A tail. The record is from RNAcentral. Lineage: Eukaryota; Metazoa; Arthropoda; Insecta; Hemiptera; Aphididae.